AUGAUUGUAACACCCGCUGAUGUACCUCAUAGUUGGGCUGUACCUUCCUCAGGUGUCAAAUGUGAUGUUGUACCUGGUCAUUCAAAUCUUACCUCCAUCUCGGUACAAUGAGAAGGAGUUUACUAUGGUCAGUGCAGUGAGAUUCGUGGAACUAAUCAUGCCUUUACGCCUAUCGUCGUAGAAGCAGUGACUUUGAAAGAUUAUGCGGAUUGGGUAUCCAAUCAAUUAAUCCUCCAAACCAACUAA
Molecule: ribosomal RNA, 246 nt
Filed under: Triticum aestivum (bread wheat)
Lineage: Eukaryota; Viridiplantae; Streptophyta; Magnoliopsida; Poales; Poaceae
Description: partial small subunit ribosomal RNA
Source: RNAcentral